RNAcentral lists this ribosomal RNA (378 nucleotides) under uncultured fungus. Its description in RNAcentral is "eukaryotic LSU rRNA". It matches the Rfam family "Eukaryotic large subunit ribosomal RNA", at positions 40 to 398 of the family's 3401-position model. Lineage: Eukaryota; Fungi. The record is from RNAcentral.
AUAUCAAUAAGCGGAGGAAAAGAAACUAACAAGGAUUCCCCUAGUAACUGCGAGUGAAGCGGGAGAAGCUCAAAUUUAAAAUCUGGCUGGUCUCUUGGCCAUCCGAGUUGUAAUUCUAGAGAAGCGUUUAUCCGCGCUGGACCGUGCUACAAGUCUCCUGGAAUCGGAGCGUCAUAGAGGGUGAGAAUCCCGUCUUCUGACACGAUGCACCAGGGCAUUUGUGAUGCGCUCUCAGAAGAGUCGAGUUGUUUGGGAAUGCAGCUCUAAAAUGGGUGGUGAACUUCCAUCUAAAGCUAAAUAUUGGCGAGAGACCGAUAGCGAACAAGUACCGUGAGGGAAAGAUGAAAAGCAACUUUGGAAAGAGAGUGUAAACAGUAC